UGAGGCACCCACACACAGAGUACCUAAAGUACAUGAACAGAGAAUUACUGAACAUCUGUUGAUGGAAUACAAUUCAAAGGUGACUAAUGGACAAGUGAGAACCCAAUAAGUGAAGAAACCCCAUUUGUGGAUAAACUCAGUGAAAAGAGGUACAGCCACAGGAACACUGAAUCUAAGGAGCUCUUCAAGCUGAAUAGAAGCAAAGAACAGGAUAGCAAAAAUGGAGUUGGACUUACAGCGAAGAAGAGGAAAACUUGGUUGUUUGAAGUGACAUAGUGUAUUGUAGAGUAAUUUCUUUUGUUCUUGUUAAUAACAAUGUAUUUGGUACUAACUGUUCACCAUGUAAAAGCUCAUAAAGAUUAAUGAGCUUGUAACCUAUAGUUUAUUACUAUAAAUGGUAAGCCUUUUGGUAAAUUUCUAUAUUAUUUAUGCUUCUGGUACAAUUUUGGGGUUUUACUGUAUAAAGUUCUAAAAAUUUAAAAUGAUCCCUUCGUCUUGGUUUGCCCCUUCACACAAUUCGUCUAGACUAGACUACACUAGCCAGGUCACCACAAAUUGACACACAACCCCUAGUCCUCCCAACAAAGAAAUAGUGACAUUUUAAAAAAGAAGAAACUCUGCAAGAUGUGUACAUUACUAACAAAAGCAACAAUAAGGCCUUAUCAAUGUAAUCCUCAUCGUUUCUUUCCCCAUAACAGCUCUUUGCUUUUCAUGGUUAAGCCUUAAUAUAGAAUGUGAGCUCUUUAGGGUGGAAAUUAUGUCUUCUAUUUCUCAAGUGUCAUGCAUAUUUGUGGUACUAGGUCUCACUAUACAGUAUUUGUCCUUUUGAACUUUGCUUUAUAAAAUAUUGCAACCUCUCCAGAGGAGAGACUGAAUAAACUCUGACCUUUAUGCUCGGACUUAACACCUAUUCAAAGCAAAAUAAAUUGUCCAUACUAUCUAAGCUGGGUGUUUUUUGUAACAUUCCUUUUAGCAACUGCGAUUGUAGAAGAUCAUAGAAUACUCCAGAGACUAAACUCUUUAAAGUUUCUUCAAGAACCAUCAUCAGAGGUGACACAACUUUUCACUGUAAUGGACUUCACUUCUUACAUAGUGAAGCAAAUUCUGUUGGAGGGCACUCCUACACAACAAAGCAUAAAACUCCCUUUACCAUCAGCCUUUUCCUGAUAAUAGGUGCAUUUGCAAUAACGAACAAACGUUAAAAUCCAUAAAAAUUCCCAGGCUUGACAUUGGAUUGUCCCUUAAGUAAAUCCUCUGCCGCAAAUGCAGGAAACAGUCCAUAGUAUGCAAUUAUAUACUAAGUACUCAACAAUCCUGUGUAGCACUUCUCCCAAAGGACAUUGUUCACCAAGUAUAUGAACCCACACCAUUGGAAUUAAGUUGAAACAGCUAGUUUGUUUCCUUUCUCAGAUGGCUUUUCUUGGUUGAUUGGCCUGUUGUUUCCAUAGAAAUGCAUUGCCUAUUUUUUAACUUAAAUUCAUGGAAAAUCAUCCUGAAUGGCUGAAAACUAGUUAAGUUUCUACUUGUUAUCCCCACAGCCGUCAACGGUAUUAGGAGGCCUGGGAUAGUAUCAACCACUGAGGUCAUAUAGGCAAUCAACUGUAGCGUGCGUUCAGGGGAAACUAUUACAGUAAUGUGGAGCUGGGUCAGGUAUUUUAACAUUCAAACUAAAAUUUCAUUAAUGAGAUCACUUCGCCUCCUCUCCACAUCCCCCAAAUUUCUAACCUAUUCUUUCCUUUUAAAAUGUUGAUUUUUAUUAGCACUGUUUAACCGCCUAUACCCCUGCAUAAACGUAUAAGCGUUGUCAUGUAUUAUCUGUCUAUGGCCUGAGCGCAUCACAAUCUUUGAUGUAUUUAUUCUCACAACACCCCUGUGAUGUACAGUAGUGUUAUCUCCAAUGUACAAAUGGCAGAGUGAGGCGCAGAGAGGCUAAGGCCCAGGUUGUCAAAGGUAUUUCAGCUCCUAACUUCUGCUGAAACCAGCAGAAGUUAGGAACCCAAGGACAUUUUGAGAACCUGAGCCUUAAAGUGACUUGUCCAGACACACAGAAAAUCAGUGAUGGAGCAGGGAAUUGAAUUCUACUCCCAGGCCAGCACCCUAACUAUUGGACUAUUCUUAUUAUUGUAACAAUACAGUUGCUCUAAACAUCGGGUUUCUGUGGUUCCCCUUGCCCCAAUAAUUCUUUUAAUAACAUAGAGUGGCCAUACUGCUCCAUCUAGUCCAGUGUCCUGUCUUCCGACAGUGGAAAAUGCCAGGUGCCCCAGAGG
Molecule: long non-coding RNA, 2267 nt
Organism: Gopherus evgoodei (Goodes thornscrub tortoise)
Lineage: Eukaryota; Metazoa; Chordata; Testudines; Testudinidae
Exons: 3
Source: RefSeq, a predicted model, not a curated record